RNAcentral lists this ribosomal RNA (460 nucleotides) under uncultured bacterium. RNAcentral's name for it is "partial 16S ribosomal RNA". It matches the Rfam family "Bacterial small subunit ribosomal RNA", at positions 338 to 795 of the family's 1533-position model. The record is from RNAcentral.
CCUACGGGUGACAGCAGUGAGGAAUAUUGGUCAAUGGACGAGAGUCUGAACCAGCCAAGUAGCGUGAAGGAUGACUGCCCUAUGGGUUGUAAACUUCUUUUAUAUGGGAAUAAAAUGUUCCACGUGUGGGAUUUUGUAUGUACCAUAUGAAUAAGGAUCGGCUAACUCCGUGCCAGCAGCCGCGGUAAUACGGAGGAUCCGAGCGUUAUCCGGAUUUAUUGGGUUUAAAGGGAGCGUAGGGGGAUUGUUAAGUCAGUUGUGAAAGUUUGCGGCUCAACCGUAAAAUUGCAGUUGAAACUGGCAGUCUUGAGUACAGUAGAGGUGGGCGGAAUUCGUGGUGUAGCGGUGAAAUGCUUAGAUAUCACGAAGAACUCCGAUUGCGAAGGCAGUUCACUGGACUGCAACUGACACUGAGGCUCGAAAGUGUGGGUAUCAAACAGGAUUAGAUACCCGAGUAGUC